GAUGAACGCUGGCGGCGUGCCUAAUACAUGCAAGUCGAGCGAACAGACGAGGAGCUUGCUCCUCUGACGUUAGCGGCGGACGGGUGAGUAACACGUGGAUAACCUACCUAUAAGACUGGGAUAACUUCGGGAAACCGGAGCUAAUACCGGAUAAUAUAUUGAACCGCAUGGUUCAAUAGUGAAAGACGGUUUUGCUGUCACUUAUAGAUGGAUCCGCGCCGUAUUAGCUAGUUGGUAACGUAACGGCUUACCAAGGCAACGAUGCGUAGCCGACCUGAGAGGGUGAUCGGCCACACUGGAACUGAGACACGGUCCAGACUCCUACGGGAGGCAGCAGUAGGGAAUCUUCCGCAAUGGGCGAAAGCCUGACGGAGCAACGCCGCGUGAGUGAUGAAGGUCUUCGGAUCGUAAAACUCUGUUAUUAGGGAAGAACAAAUGUGUAAGUAACUAUGCACGUCUUGACGGUACCUAAUCAGAAAGCCACGGCUAACUACGUG
Molecule: ribosomal RNA, 497 nt
Filed under: uncultured bacterium
Lineage: Bacteria
Description: partial 16S ribosomal RNA
Rfam family: Bacterial small subunit ribosomal RNA
Source: RNAcentral